UGGCGAGUCGUCUAGUGGCAGGACAGCUGACUCUGGAUCAGCCGACGGAGGUUCGAAUCCUCCCUCGCCAACCA
RNAcentral lists this transfer RNA (74 nucleotides) under Candidatus Krumholzibacteriia bacterium. RNAcentral's name for it is "tRNA-Gln". It matches the Rfam family "tRNA". From Rfam's summary of the family: Transfer RNA (tRNA) molecules are approximately 80 nucleotides in length. The record is from RNAcentral. Lineage: Bacteria; Candidatus Krumholzibacteriota; Candidatus Krumholzibacteriia.